AGACACCAGAUCUUACUCUCUCUUUAUUAGUUCUGACAAAGGGAAAAGUCCAUGUGAGAACACCACAGCAAGAAGUCAACAAGCCACAAGCUAGGAAGAGUUCCCUGACCAGGAACAGAAUCAGCGGCAUCUUGAUUGGGAUGCCUAUCCUUCAGAACAACCUCUCACAAAUCACCUUCACAUGCAGGAUUUCAACUAAGCUUGUCAGAAAUUUUCCAAGAAACUUGAGGUUCAAAAUAGUGGAGGCUCCCACCUCCACUGUCCCACCCACUUUAUUGCACAGAUGUUUGUCAAAUCUACGCAGUUGUGGACAAGAUUCCUUCUGAUAAUCCUGCUACUCAGACUAUUGAACAGUCUCCUGAAGGAGCUGAAAUUUAUAAAUUAUUCAUUGGCGCUUGAUAGAAAACUCAGAGACGGUCCAUUGGAGAGCAAAAGACAAUCACAGUUCAGCUGCUUCAUGUGCUUACAGAAAAGGUGCAUUUUACAUCAACCAACAAAACGCCUACUGAAGAAAGGCUGAAUUCAUGCUGUCAUAGGAAUGAAGAUCUACCAUAUCUUAUUUAAACCAUAAAUUUUGUGUGGGAUUAGGCGAACACCAAAGUGAAGAAUAAAUGAACUAUACCAUAAGUUCCACAUUAUCAAAGACUUAUUUAUCAUUGGAAGGUAUUCAAAUGUCACUUUGCAACCACUCAUUGUUUCAAGAAUACCUUUGCUAGAGAUUUCAGCCUCUCCUUGCACAACUUUUAGGUCAGGGAAUAAUUCAUUCUCUCCUGGGCUAGCCAAUGCUAUCUUUAAGUGAUUUUAUUAAAAUAUUUUGUCAUUAUCUGUUACCUUGAAAUUUCUGUUCACAAUGUAAUUGUUAUUUCCUAUAACUACACAUUUAUUAAUUUUGUCCACAUGAAAAGCUUUCCAAUGGAAUAAGGCUUAUAACUUCUUGUCUAUCAAGGCUAAGUGCCAUUGCUUUUCAAUUGUUUCUCUAUGUGAUGACAGGAAACCGCACUAUUAUUGUUUUGCUG
Molecule: long non-coding RNA, 1016 nt
Filed under: Callithrix jacchus (white-tufted-ear marmoset)
Lineage: Eukaryota; Metazoa; Chordata; Mammalia; Primates; Cebidae
Description: lncRNA (ENSCJAG00000059118.2)
Source: RNAcentral